This 2231-nucleotide ribosomal RNA is filed under the name Staphylococcus aureus. Its description in RNAcentral is "bacterial LSU rRNA". It matches the Rfam family "Bacterial large subunit ribosomal RNA", at positions 68 to 2297 of the family's 2925-position model. Lineage: Bacteria; Bacillati; Bacillota; Bacilli; Caryophanales; Staphylococcaceae. The record is from RNAcentral.
ACGAUAUGCUUUGGGGAGCUGUAAGUAAGCUUUGAUCCAGAGAUUUCCGAAUGGGGAAACCCAGCAUGAGUUAUGUCAUGUUAUCGAUAUGUGAAUACAUAGCAUAUCAGAAGGCACACCCGGAGAACUGAAACAUCUUAGUACCCGGAGGAAGAGAAAGAAAAUUCGAUUCCCUUAGUAGCGGCGAGCGAAACGGGAAGAGCCCAAACCAACAAGCUUGCUUGUUGGGGUUGUAGGACACUCUAUACGGAGUUACAAAGGACGACAUUAGACGAAUCAUCUGGAAAGAUGAAUCAAAGAAGGUAAUAAUCCUGUAGUCGAAAAUGUUGUCUCUCUUGAGUGGAUCCUGAGUACGACGGAGCACGUGAAAUUCCGUCGGAAUCUGGGAGGACCAUCUCCUAAGGCUAAAUACUCUCUAGUGACCGAUAGUGAACCAGUACCGUGAGGGAAAGGUGAAAAGCACCCCGGAAGGGGAGUGAAAUAGAACCUGAAACCGUGUGCUUACAAGUAGUCAGAGCCCGUUAAUGGGUGAUGGCGUGCCUUUUGUAGAAUGAACCGGCGAGUUACGAUUUGAUGCAAGGUUAAGCAGUAAAUGUGGAGCCGUAGCGAAAGCGAGUCUGAAUAGGGCGUUUAGUAUUUGGUCGUAGACCCGAAACCAGGUGAUCUACCCUUGGUCAGGUUGAAGUUCAGGUAACACUGAAUGGAGGACCGAACCGACUUACGUUGAAAAGUGAGCGGAUGAACUGAGGGUAGCGGAGAAAUUCCAAUCGAACCUGGAGAUAGCUGGUUCUCUCCGAAAUAGCUUUAGGGCUAGCCUCAAGUGAUGAUUAUUGGAGGUAGAGCACUGUUUGGACGAGGGGCCCCUCUCGGGUUACCGAAUUCAGACAAACUCCGAAUGCCAAUUAAUUUAACUUGGGAGUCAGAACAUGGGUGAUAAGGUCCGUGUUCGAAAGGGAAACAGCCCAGACCACCAGCUAAGGUCCCAAAAUAUAUGUUAAGUGGAAAAGGAUGUGGCGUUGCCCAGACAACUAGGAUGUUGGCUUAGAAGCAGCCAUCAUUUAAAGAGUGCGUAAUAGCUCACUAGUCGAGUGACACUGCGCCGAAAAUGUACCGGGGCUAAACAUAUUACCGAAGCUGUGGAUUGUCCUUUGGACAAUGGUAGGAGAGCGUUCUAAGGGCGUUGAAGCAUGAUCGUAAGGACAUGUGGAGCGCUUAGAAGUGAGAAUGCCGGUGUGAGUAGCGAAAGACGGGUGAGAAUCCCGUCCACCGAUUGACUAAGGUUUCCAGAGGAAGGCUCGUCCGCUCUGGGUUAGUCGGGUCCUAAGCUGAGGCCGACAGGCGUAGGCGAUGGAUAACAGGUUGAUAUUCCUGUACCACCUAUAAUCGUUUUAAUCGAUGGGGGGACGCAGUAGGAUAGGCGAAGCGUGCGAUUGGAUUGCACGUCUAAGCAGUAAGGCUGAGUAUUAGGCAAAUCCGGUACUCGUUAAGGCUGAGCUGUGAUGGGGAGAAGACAUUGUGUCUUCGAGUCGUUGAUUUCACACUGCCGAGAAAAGCCUCUAGAUAGAAAAUAGGUGCCCGUACCGCAAACCGACACAGGUAGUCAAGAUGAGAAUUCUAAGGUGAGCGAGCGAACUCUCGUUAAGGAACUCGGCAAAAUGACCCCGUAACUUCGGGAGAAGGGGUGCUCUUUAGGGUUAACGCCCAGAAGAGCCGCAGUGAAUAGGCCCAAGCGACUGUUUAUCAAAAACACAGGUCUCUGCUAAACCGUAAGGUGAUGUAUAGGGGCUGACGCCUGCCCGGUGCUGGAAGGUUAAGAGGAGUGGUUAGCUUCUGCGAAGCUACGAAUCGAAGCCCCAGUAAACGGCGGCCGUAACUAUAACGGUCCUAAGGUAGCGAAAUUCCUUGUCGGGUAAGUUCCGACCCGCACGAAAGGCGUAACGAUUUGGGCACUGUCUCAACGAGAGACUCGGUGAAAUCAUAGUACCUGUGAAGAUGCAGGUUACCCGCGACAGGACGGAAAGACCCCGUGGAGCUUUACUGUAGCCUGAUAUUGAAAUUCGGCACAGCUUGUACAGGAUAGGUAGGAGCCUUUGAAACGUGAGCGCUAGCUUACGUGGAGGCGCUGGUGGGAUACUACCCUAGCUGUGUUGGCUUUCUAACCCGCACCACUUAUCGUGGUGGGAGACAGUGUCAGGCGGGCAGUUUGACUGGGGCGGUCGCCUCCUAAAAGG